This 752-nucleotide ribosomal RNA is filed under the name uncultured archaeon. RNAcentral's name for it is "bacterial SSU rRNA". It matches the Rfam family "Archaeal small subunit ribosomal RNA", at positions 1 to 754 of the family's 1478-position model. The record is from RNAcentral.
UUCGCCCUUUUCGGUUGAUCCUGCCGGAGGCUACUGCUAUCGGAAUUCGAUUAAGCCAUGCGAGUCGAGAGGGUUCGGCCCUCGGCUGACGGCUCAGUAACACGUGGAUAACCUGCCCUCAGGUAGGGGAUAAUCUCGGGAAACUGAGGAUAAUACCCUAUAAGCAUCCUCUGCUGGAAUGCUUGGAUGUUCAAAGGCAACGCCUGAGGAUGGGUCUGCGGCCUAUCAGGUUGUAGUGGGUGUAACGGACCCACUAGCCCGCGACGGGUACGGGCCUUGAAAGAGGUAGCCCGGAGAUGGACUCUGAGACACGAGUCCAGGCCCUACGGGGCGCAGCAGGCGCGAAAACUUCGCAAUGCGGGAAACCGUGACGAGGGAAUUCCGAGUGCUCAUACAAUGUAUGGGCUUUUCUUAUGUGUAAAAAGCAUGAGGAAUAAGGGCUGGGUAAGACCGGUGCCAGCCGCCGCGGUAAUACCGGCAGCUCGAGUGGUAGCCACUUUUAUUGGGCCUAAAGCGUCCGUAGCCGGUCAGGUAAAUCCUUGGGUAAAUCGUACAGCUUAACUGUGCGGCUUCCGGGGAGACUGCUUGACUUGGGACCGGGAGAGGUUGGAGGUACUCCUGGGGUAGGGGUGAAAUCCUGUAAUCCUAGGUGGACCACCGGUGGCGAGGGCGUCCAACCAGAACGGCUCCGACGGUGAGGGACGAAGGCUAGGGGCGCAAACCGGAUUAGAUACCCGGGUAGUCCUAGCUGU